Long non-coding RNA from Sciurus carolinensis (gray squirrel), 798 nucleotides. RefSeq lists it as uncharacterized. NCBI's taxonomy places the organism in Eukaryota, Metazoa, Chordata, Mammalia, Rodentia, Sciuridae. The transcript has 4 exons. The record is from RefSeq and is a predicted model, not a curated record.
CUGCUAAACACAGACGCCAGGACCGGCCCUGGAGACUCGGCUGCUGUUCUGGGGCGAGGCCUGAGGAGCUGGAUGUGGAGGAGAAUCUUGGAUGAUUCCUUGGACCUGGCAAGUUACAGCCUCUCUUGAAUGCCGCUGCGGAUGGGGAACUCAACAUUGCCUCUCAUGAGUUACAGUAAAGGGCGCUUCCUUGCAGGGAGGAAGAGGAGCCCCUGAACACCUCCUGUUGACUGGCCUAGCCGUGAGCACCCGAGAGACUUGGAGGAUCAGGGAGACACCUACGGCCCCAUGCCCUCCUCUGCCUGUCGUCUCAGUCCACUCUGAUCAAGGUGUCACGUGCCACCAGGCCAAGGCCCUAUCCUAGCAGAGACGGCAUCAUAAAGUCAGUCCCUGAUCUCACCCAGCUCACCUGGAUGACUGUGCAUGUGCUGAUUGCCAUUGCAGGAACCCAUCCCGACUUCCUUAUUGUCAUUCUAGCAAGGGGUGGAUGAUCUUUAUUCAGGAAAUAUUCUGAUCCUUGAAGGCUGGCUGCCAGGACACAUCAUCCAAUGGUGGCAGAAGAAGGAAGACCCUCAGUGCUGGCUGCCCUCCUGGAGGUGGAGUUUGAUGUGGAGAAUGCUCCUUGGGAACUGUUGUGGGUCCUUUUACUUCCUGGCAGUGGGGAGAUUCUUCACCCCAACUCCUGGGCCAAAAAAGUCCAAGAGUUCAUGGCUGAGCCCAGGUUGGGUCUGAUUUGUGUUUUCAGGAGACUGGGAGCAUUUAAUUUUAAGCUAUAUGUGUUCAAUAAACAGAGAAGGA